Peromyscus eremicus (cactus mouse) is the source of this 500-nucleotide long non-coding RNA. RefSeq lists it as uncharacterized. The transcript has 2 exons. The record is from RefSeq and is a predicted model, not a curated record. Lineage: Eukaryota; Metazoa; Chordata; Mammalia; Rodentia; Cricetidae.
AGGGGUGUUUUGCCUGCAUGUAUGUACCAUGUGUGUGCCUGGUGCCUCCAGAGGCCAGAAGAGGACAUUGGAUCCCCUGGAACUGAAAGUUAACUGACAGUUGUGAGCUGCCAUGAUUCCCGAAAUCUGCUUAACACCUGGCUGUGGGUCUACAUCUGCCUCCGUAUGCUGUUAGUGAUUUUUAAGUCAGCAGUAAGACACAGCUGGGAAGGCUGUGGCCCUGGGCACCAGAAGAUGAAGAGGACAACACUUCAAUGACCAGGAAAGUUAAAGUCUUCCCCCCGAAGAACGUACAUUCUCUCUUCACCCUGCCACUCUUACCAGCCCAGUGAAGGAAGAAGCACAGAGGUCAAAGGCGAAACUCUGUUGCACUUGGUGGACAUUUUUCAUUUUCUUCUUUAUGGCAAAGCCAACUCCGUUUCUCUUCUGCUUCUCACCCUGCUGUCCUGUGCCGUCCACUCCAGUUUCUAAGACCCUUGAAUAAAUAUAGGUUACGAACA